This 251-nucleotide ribosomal RNA is filed under the name uncultured prokaryote. RNAcentral describes it as "partial 16S rRNA". It matches the Rfam family "Bacterial small subunit ribosomal RNA", at positions 525 to 775 of the family's 1533-position model. The record is from RNAcentral.
ACGGGGGGUGCAAGCGUUGUUCGGAUUUAUUGGGCUUAAAGAGCGUGCAGGCGGAUGAAUAAGUCAGAUGUGAAAUCCUUGGGCUCAACUGAAGAACUGCCUUUGAUACUAUUAAUCUUGAGUAUGGUAGAGGAAAGUGGAAUUCCUGGUGUAGAGGUGAAAUUCGUAGAUAUCAGAAGGAACACCGAUGGCGAAGGCGACUUACUAAGCAUAGACUGACGCUGAGGCACGAGAGCGUGUGUAGCAAACAG